GUACACACCGCCCGUCAAGCCACGAAGGGGAGGGGCGCCCGAACCCGCUGUGCCAACCGCAAGGGAGCAGGCGGCUACGGUGAAACUCCUGAUCGGGACUAAGUCGUAACAAGGUAACCGUAGGUGAACCUGCAGAAGGAUCA
This 143-nucleotide ribosomal RNA is filed under the name uncultured eukaryote. RNAcentral's name for it is "partial small subunit ribosomal RNA". It matches the Rfam family "Bacterial small subunit ribosomal RNA", at positions 1383 to 1525 of the family's 1533-position model. The record is from RNAcentral.